UCCUUCGAGAGAAUAAGAGCAGAAUGUCAAUAAGGUUAAGAGUAGUUUUUCCUUUUGUUAAUGUUUUGAUUGUUAAUGCUGACGUCUAUGGUUGAUUAGUUCCGUUUAGCUCUCAUGCAUAAAAAGAUGAUCGUAGAUACUCCAUAAGUAAUUAUACAUGAAUUCUUAUAACUUGAAACGCGAUUAUGGUUUUUAUGUUGCUUCCGGCAGAAAUUGAAGCAGCGACUUAUAUAGACAGCUUGUACUGUUUUGUCGAUGUUUAUAAUAGAAUGGCUGUAUUUCACUUCGCUUUGAUCACGUACCCCCCGGUGGCACAACCUACUGAAGAACAAUGUUUAACCUCGAUACACUCUCGUUUGUUGACGUUAUCUAAGGACUUAAUUAGGCACUAUGGAAUCUCAGCCUGAGGACAAAUUUACUCAUACAUCAACUGUCAAGGUCAGAUUUCAGCAUAUUAUUUUUCUACAAUUCUAUACACACUUCACAAACUUAUAACUAGAUAAUGACAGAACUGAAAUAACUAUGUCUGAGAAAGUUCAAGUGAAGCAGGUGAUGGAGGAAGGAAGGAAGGAACUUGGUGGGGUGGAGAACUGACAAAUUUGAGGGUCCUGGUCCGCACGUUUUUCGUUUCCAAGAAGGAGGUCUUCAUUUACAGUAAAUUUAUAAGAACCAAUGAGAGAAUUAUGAAGCUGUCUUCGCAUUUGCUUGAAUUUCUUCGUAAGACGGUAGUGCAGAAGUCGUGUUGUCCAAAUUCGAUUCCUUCGCAUCACUUGGUACAACUUCAGCGCUAGUUUGCGAAGUUCCCACGCCGUCAUUAUUGUCAACAGCUUCUUCGUAUGAAGGAGGUACCAUUUCUUCCCAAGACUGAGAUUCCGAUGAUGUUUUGACUUCGAAGUGAUGAAUCGGUCCCAGCUGAUCGUUAGAGCCAGCGCUCAAGGCAGUUCUAUUGGCGUUGUGUUCUGCCGCGAUCACAGCCUCUUCGCAAUUUGUGUUUUCAACGAUCUUGUCUUGGCGUGAACUCCAGACUGCGAUGAAAAGUAGUAACAAUCCACCGACAGCUACAGCCACGGGACCAGCCAGCUUGCAGCUUUUUACCGAAGCAGUGUUACCCAGUAGUAUUAAAACAGAACCAGCUAUGACUAAGAUAAGAGGAGUUAAGCGAAGCAGCCGGCUGAGUUUCUCUUUGCUGAUUAACCUGUGCAUCUCUGGUUGCUCUGUGAUGGCAGGGUUAAAAUGAAGUACAAGUAGAGAGGAGAGGUAGAGAGGAGACUAUUUGUCUUGUUCCUUCGAGAGAAUAAGAACAGAAUGACAAUUAAGUUUAAGGUAGCUUUUCCGUUUAUUGAUGUUUUCAUCAUUAUUAAUAUAUUGUUGACGUCUAUGGUUGAGUUGCUCCAUCUUGUUUUGAUGCAUAAUUAAGAGACGGUCACAUAUAUUGGAUAGGUACAUAAGAUACAUAAACAGUUUAAAGACUUGAAACGUUGUUAUCGUUUUUAGGUUGUUUCCGGCAGAAAUUGAGGAAGAGACUAUAGAUCGACACCUUGACCGUUUUGUUGUUGUCUAGAAAGACUGGGACGCAUAAUUCCUACUUCACCUCAGUUGCUUUGAUCACGUCCCCCGGUGGCACAACGUACUGAAGCACAAAAUUCAAACUCCCCGUUACGCUCUCGUUUGUUGACGUCAAUUAAUUAGGUAGAAUAAUGAAAGAACUGAAAUAACUAUGUCUGAGAAAGUUCAAGUAUAAGAGGUGAUCAUGGGAGGAAGGGAGGAACUUGGUGGAAGUGGCAUGGGGAACUGGCAAAUUUGAUGAGUAGCUUUGAACUCCAGAGAUCGCAGUCCAUAGAAACCUCGAACUCGUCGUCCAAUGGUUAAAUCAAGAAAACAAUGGGAGAAUCAGUCAGACUCGCGAUAGAAUUUUACAAUUGCAUACGCUGAGUGUGCCUACAGGAGCUAUUACAUGGGCCCUAUACUAACGUGCUGAGUCAAUUCACACAAAGUUAAUUCUUCCCUUCUUCUUCACCAUGUUCACCGUUACGCGAGUUCGAUGCUGUAGCGAUUAACUGGGCCAUAAAGGCGCUGGGCGCGAUGUUAAACUGACUGUUUUACUUACCUACUGCAACUGUCUUUGCUCGCUAAAGAUUCAAAUAUUCGAAAUAAAAUCAAAUAGGUAGCAAGCCGUGUUCA
Long non-coding RNA from Orbicella faveolata, 2181 nucleotides. NCBI's taxonomy places the organism in Eukaryota, Metazoa, Cnidaria, Anthozoa, Scleractinia, Merulinidae. The record is from RefSeq and is a predicted model, not a curated record.